Molecule: ribosomal RNA, 253 nt
Filed under: uncultured bacterium
Lineage: Bacteria
Description: partial 16S ribosomal RNA
Rfam family: Bacterial small subunit ribosomal RNA
Source: RNAcentral
UACGUAGGGGGCAAGCGUUGUCCGGAAUCAUUGGGCGUAAAGAGCGUGUAGGCGGCCCGGUAAGUCCGCUGUGAAAGUCCAGGGCUCAACCCUGGGAUGCCGGUGGAUACUGUCGGGCUCGAGUCCGGAAGAGGAGUGUGGAAUUCCUAGUGUAGAGGUGAAAUUCGUAGAUAUUAGGAAGAACACCAGUGGCGAAGGCGGCUCACUGGCCCGGUACUGACGCUGAGGCGCGAAAGCGUGGGGAGCAAACAGG